AACAGGAUUAGAUACCCUGGUAGUCCACGCCGUAAACGAUGUCUACUAGCUGCUCGUGUCCUUGUGAUGUGAGUAGCGCAGCUAACGCACUAAGUAGACCGCCUGGGGAGUACGGUCGCAAGAUUAAAACUCAAAUGAAUUGACGGGGGCCCGCACAAGCGGUGGAGCAUGUGGUUUAAUUCGACGCAACGCGAAGAACCUUACCUACUCUUGACAUCUACGGAAGACUGCAGAGAUGCGGUUGUGCCUUCGGGAACCGUAAGACAGGUGCUGCAUGGCUGUCGUCAGCUCGUGUUGUGAAAUGUUGGGUUAAGUCCCGCAACGAGCGCAACCCCUAUCCUUAGUUGCCAGCGAGUUAAGUCGGGAACUCUAGGGAGACUGCCGGUGAUAAACCGGAGGAAGGUGGGGACGACGUCAAGUCAUCAUGGCCCUUACGAGUAGGGCUACACACGUGCUACAAUGGUACGUACAGAGGGAGGCAAGCUGGCGACAGUGAGCGGAUCUCCUAAAGCGUAUCGUAGUCCGGAUCGCAGUCUGCAACUCGACUGCGUGAAGUCGGAAUCGCUAGUAAUCGCAAAUCAGAAUGUUGCGGUGAAUACGUUCCCGGGCCUUGUACACACCGCCCGUCACACCAUGGGAGUGGGUUGCAAAAGAAGUAGGUAGCUUAACCUUCGGGAGGGCGCUUACCACUUUGUGAUCCAUGACUGGGGUGAAGUCGUAACAAGGUAACC
Molecule: ribosomal RNA, 731 nt
Filed under: uncultured bacterium
Lineage: Bacteria
Description: bacterial SSU rRNA
Rfam family: Bacterial small subunit ribosomal RNA
Source: RNAcentral